GAUGAACGCUGGCGGCGUGCCUAAUACAUGCAAGUCGAGCGAACAGACGAGGAGCUUGCUCCUCUGACGUUAGCGGCGGACGGGUGAGUAACACGUGGAUAACCUACCUAUAAGACUGGGAUAACUUCGGGAAACCGGAGCUAAUACAGGAUAAUAUAUUGAACAGCAUGGUUCAAUAGUGAAAGACGGUUUUGCUGUCACUUAUAGAUGGAUCCGCGCCGCAUUAGCUAGUUGGUAAGGUAACGGCUUACCAAGGCAACGAUGCGUAGCCGACCUGAGAGGGUGAUCGGCCACACUGGAACUGAGACACGGUCCAGACUCCUACGGGAGGCAGCAGUAGGGAAUCUUCCGCAAUGGGCGCAAGCUUGACGGAGCAACGCCGCGUGAGUGAUGAAGGUCUUCGGAUCGUAAAACUCUGUUAUUAGGGAAGAACAAAUGUGUAAGUAACUAUGCACGUCUUGACGGUACCUAAUCAGAAAGCCACGGCUAACUACGUG
Molecule: ribosomal RNA, 497 nt
Filed under: uncultured bacterium
Lineage: Bacteria
Description: partial 16S ribosomal RNA
Rfam family: Bacterial small subunit ribosomal RNA
Source: RNAcentral